RNAcentral lists this long non-coding RNA (744 nucleotides) under Triticum aestivum (bread wheat). Its description in RNAcentral is "long non-coding RNA (TAES_LNC023617)". Lineage: Eukaryota; Viridiplantae; Streptophyta; Magnoliopsida; Poales; Poaceae. The record is from RNAcentral.
AGAUGUUCUGAGAUCUGGAUGAGAUUCAUAUUGUCUGACAUAGCUCAGUUUGUGAUGAAGCCAAUGAACAUAUUAGGAAAUAUUUUUCAACGAUGAAACCAGUUGGUGCUCUCUCUCUCUCUCUUUCUCCCCCCUAGAAAUGACCUACUUCUCUUCUUUAAUCAGUCUAAUAACUGUUUUCCCAUGGCUGUUGAACAGAUGUCAAGGUUUAUUUUUUUGCUGAUAUGUGCAAUCUUAUGGAUAUGUUUAUUUGGCAUAAUCUUCUAUCCUCAUUUGAAGCACCUUGGAGUUAUUUGGUGAUUGUGCUGCUAUGUUGGAUGAUCACACGCUGGUAUUAUUUUCUACUAGGUCUAUGAGUGGAAAGCAGUUGAUCUCGAACUGUUUGGUCCCUUGUUCAUUUUACUUACUUGCCUUUCCUGCCUUUUUGGCCAACUUAGGUGUUUGAAGCCCCUUUUGCGUAUGAAUCUUGCCUGGUGCGACUAGAAACUGCAUUCUCAAAUAUUCAACAAACUGUUGAAGUUAUCUGUUACAAGAUUCACCCAUUUUGUAGUAUUCAUGCCCUUAAGAUCUAAAAUAGCUCGAUCAUCUCCUUGUGAUGUCUUCUAUGUUGUUUGUUAUUACUUGUUAUUGUAUUAAAGCAAAUUUGUCAUUCUCAGCCAAGAUUGUCAACAAGUGUGCAUUAGCAAGCUGAGAUUUCAGUUUCACUUCCUCUUAGAAACUGUGAUAUCUUUCUGUUAUUUUCAG